GAUGAACGCUGGCGGCGUGCUUAACACAUGCAAGUCGAACGAUGAAGCCCAGCUUGCUGGGUGGAUUAGUGGCGAACGGGUGAGUAACACGUGAGUAACCUGCCCUUGACUCUGGGAUAAGCCUGGGAAACUGGGUCUAAUACUGGAUAUGACUUCUCAUCGCAUGGUGGGGGGUGGAAAGAUUUAUUGGUCUUGGAUGGACUCGCGGCCUAUCAGCUUGUUGGUGAGGUAAUGGCUCACCAAGGCGACGACGGGUAGCCGGCCUGAGAGGGUGACCGGCCACACUGGGACUGAGACACGGCCCAGACUCCUACGGGAGGCAGCAGUGGGGAAUAUUGCACAAUGGGCGCAAGCCUGAUGCAGCGACGCCGCGUGAGGGAUGACGGCCCUCGGGUUGUAAACCUCUUUCAGUAGGGAAGAAGCGAGAGUGACGGUACCUGCAGAAGAAGCGCCGGCUAACUACGUG
RNAcentral lists this ribosomal RNA (466 nucleotides) under uncultured bacterium. RNAcentral's name for it is "partial 16S ribosomal RNA". It matches the Rfam family "Bacterial small subunit ribosomal RNA", at positions 28 to 507 of the family's 1533-position model. The record is from RNAcentral.